CCUACGGGCAGCAGCAGUGAGGAAUAUUGGUCAAUGGACGAGAGUCUGAACCAGCCAAGUAGCGUGAAGGAUGACUGCCCUAUGGGUUGUAAACUUCUUUUAUCUGGGAAUAAAAUGUUCCACGUGUGGGAUUUUGUAUGUACCAUAUGAAUAAGGAUCGGCUAACUCCGUGCCAGCAGCCGCGGUAAUACGGAGGAUCCGAGCGUUAUCCGGAUUUAUUGGGUUUAAAGGGAGCGUAGGUGGAUUGUUAAGUCAGUUGUGAAAGUUUGCGGCUCAACCGUAAAAUUGCAGUUGAAACUGGCAGUCUUGAGUACAGUAGAGGUGGGCGGAAUUCGUGGUGUAGCGGUGAAAUGCUUAGAUAUCACGAAGAACUCCGAUUGCGAAGGCAGUUCACUGGACUGCAACUGACACUGAGGCUCGAAAGUGUGGGUAUCAAACAGGAUUAGAUACCCGUGUAGUC
RNAcentral lists this ribosomal RNA (460 nucleotides) under uncultured bacterium. Its description in RNAcentral is "partial 16S ribosomal RNA". It matches the Rfam family "Bacterial small subunit ribosomal RNA", at positions 338 to 795 of the family's 1533-position model. The record is from RNAcentral.